This 1362-nucleotide long non-coding RNA is filed under the name Bos grunniens (domestic yak). RNAcentral's name for it is "lncRNA (ENSBGRG00000002032.1)". Lineage: Eukaryota; Metazoa; Chordata; Mammalia; Artiodactyla; Bovidae. The record is from RNAcentral.
AAUAUCUGUUUUCCUUGAAGGCCUGGUGUACCACCCUCUCCUCAAUGAAGCCUUCAUUCAUUUGCCGCCUUCACCUUGUACCACAGCAAAGGGAUCAUGCAAUGAUUUAACAACAGCUGUUUUGAAGGGCACAUAUGCUGUUUUCUGAAUCAUGGCUUACAUCAUCUAAAAUGCAUCUUUUUUCCUGACUCCAGUGGACCAACAUGAAAAACAGUUCUUUGUUAGGAUAUAGAAAGACAACUGCAGAAGGCAGUGGCACCCCACUCCAGUACUCCUGCCUGGAAAAUCCCAUGGAUGGAGGAGCCUGGAACGCUGCAGUCCAUGGGGUCACUGAGGGUCGGACACGACUGAGCGACUUCACUUUCACUUUUCACUUUCAUGCAUUGGAGGAGAAAAUGGCAACCCACUCCAGUUUUCUUGCCUGGAGAAUCCCAGGGAUGGGGGAGCCUUGUGGGCUGCCGUCUGUGGGAUCACACAGAGUCGGACACGACUGAAGUGACUUAGCAGCAGCAGCAGAAAGACAACUGCUUUUCUUUUUUUUUUUAGUCCAAAAUACUUUUUAUUCUUUGGUAAAAAAACUUUUGUGCAUCUAUAAGCUUUUGAGAAUUUGUCAGUUCCAAAUGUAGUUGGUAUUAUUUUUUUUCCUUUUAAAAAUAAUGUAAUUUAUUUGCAGUAUAGCAGAAACUAACACAACAUUGUGAAGCAACAAUAUUUCAAUAAAAAUUAACUUAAAAGAUGUUAUUUUAAAAAAUAAUUGAGGAAGUAUAAUUGUAGCUCUAAAUUUCAGUUCUAAUAUUAAGAAAAAUGAGAUGGAGAGGGUAACAUUAACAUAUAAAGGAUAUAGUCAGAAAACACUGCCAUUGAGGAAAUACACAGAUCAGCUACCUGCAUUUAAUCAAUAACAUGAACUUGGCUGCAGUUUGUCCAACCCAAAGUAUAAGAAUGAAAGAAUUUUAAAACUACAAAAUGACUUAAGAGUUUUACCAAGAAAAUAUUUUUUACCCAAAAUAGAAAUUACUCAGUGUGGAAAUAAACUUAAUAAUAUGUUUAACUGAAGUGUCACUGAAAGUUUGUUGGUUGCAGCCCCUACCCACUGAUUGUAGUUUAGCGCCUAUUUUACUCAGCAACACCAAAUGUAGUUGGUAUUCUUAUUUUGAGAAUACACCAACAUGGAUUUUUAUCUAAGAGUUAAAUAAAUUUCCUCAAACUUUUUGAUAACUUUUCUUAGUGUGUAAAAAAUUCAUGUAGGGAUUUUAACAUGAAUAUAUUAGAUUAACUAUACAUUCUCAAAAAAUUUUCCUUAUGAUAAAAUUAAAAUCAUUUUUCACCCUUCAUAAAACAUGAUUUUUUUGUUGAGCUUUU